This 73-nucleotide transfer RNA is filed under the name Ictidomys tridecemlineatus (thirteen-lined ground squirrel). RNAcentral describes it as "Spermophilus tridecemlineatus (thirteen-lined ground squirrel) tRNA". It matches the Rfam family "tRNA". Rfam says of the family: Transfer RNA (tRNA) molecules are approximately 80 nucleotides in length. Their secondary structure includes four short double-helical elements and three loops (D, anti-codon, and T loops). Lineage: Eukaryota; Metazoa; Chordata; Mammalia; Rodentia; Sciuridae. The record is from Rfam by way of RNAcentral.
GGGGAUAUAGCUCAGUUGGUAGAGUGCUUGCCUUGCAUGCACAAGGCCCUGGGUUUGAUCCCCAGCACCACCA